GACGAACGCUGGCGGCGUGCCUAAUACAUGCAAGUCGAACGCACUCUCGUUUAGAUUGAAGGAGCUUGCUCCUGAUUGAUAAACAUUUGAGUGAGUGGCGGACGGGUGAGUAACACGUGGGUAACCUGCCCUAAAGUGGGGGAUAACAUUUGGAAACAGAUGCUAAUACCGCAUAAAACCUAAACACCGCAUGGUGUAGGGUUGAAAGAUGGUUUCGGCUAUCACUUUAGGAUGGACCCGCGGUGCAUUAGUUAGUUGGUGAGGUAAAGGCUCACCAAGACCGUGAUGCAUAGCCGACCUGAGAGGGUAAUCGGCCACACUGGGACUGAGACACGGCCCAGACUCCUACGGGAGGCAGCAGUAGGGAAUCUUCCACAAUGGACGAAAGUCUGAUGGAGCAACGCCGCGUGAGUGAAGAAGGUUUUCGGAUCGUAAAACUCUGUUGUUGGAGAAGAAUGUAUCUGAUAGUAACUGACCAGGUAGUGACGGUAUCCAACCAGAAAA
RNAcentral lists this ribosomal RNA (504 nucleotides) under uncultured bacterium. RNAcentral's name for it is "bacterial SSU rRNA". It matches the Rfam family "Bacterial small subunit ribosomal RNA", at positions 28 to 490 of the family's 1533-position model. The record is from RNAcentral.